GAAAGUAUGCUGAUGAUUUUACACGGACGAUGAUAGAGGAGGAAAAGGAAAGAAAAAAGACAAACUAGGGUGUAGGAGAUCCCAUGCAACUCCUAAAUAAUGACAAGACAUUGCACCUUUGAUUCUUAUUUUCUGGUUUAGAAGGUGCCAUUGGAGAUGUGGAGGAACUGGAAUUACUAAUAUCCUCGUCUUCCUUUCCUAGGAAGGCUUCUUCUCUACCUUUUUCAAUGUUUUUGAGAUGCAACUCUUGGCUUUUAUCAGUGGACAUUCGUAUAAGUGGUCCGCUAAGCGCUCCGCUAGCCUUCCGAUCAAUGUGAAGGUUGUCCCAGACACGGCCGGAGGACCCCUGCCUCCGGAAAGAAACUGAUGAUCUCUGCAAUGUACUAGUCAUGGCGCGAUCUUUCUUCCACCAAUACUUUUUCUCCUUCCUGGUUGGUUUCCCCCUCCUUGAUUUGCUUAUCCUUUAAAGUAUCAAAACGUUUCUGUUUGGGAGCCAAAAUUUGUUUUGCUGGCUGGGUGACAGAAUUUGGUUAAUUCUCAACCACAUUCAUCACAUUUAGUCC
This 563-nucleotide unclassified non-coding RNA is filed under the name Hevea brasiliensis (rubber tree). Lineage: Eukaryota; Viridiplantae; Streptophyta; Magnoliopsida; Malpighiales; Euphorbiaceae. The record is from RNAcentral.